CUAAUCAGUUGUUGUAUUCGACUGUAUUCACAACGUGAAAUAGGGGAUUACACUAUUUUUUUAAAACGGAAAGUGAAUCAAUUAACAUAACAGACUCCU
RNAcentral lists this microRNA precursor (99 nucleotides) under Nicotiana sylvestris (wood tobacco). RNAcentral describes it as "MIR6152 microRNA precursor family". It matches the Rfam family "MIR6152 microRNA precursor family". Lineage: Eukaryota; Viridiplantae; Streptophyta; Magnoliopsida; Solanales; Solanaceae. The record is from Rfam by way of RNAcentral.